This 95-nucleotide small nuclear RNA is filed under the name Jaculus jaculus (lesser Egyptian jerboa). Lineage: Eukaryota; Metazoa; Chordata; Mammalia; Rodentia; Dipodidae. The record is from RNAcentral.
AUGCUGGCACAUAUACUAAAAUUGGAAUGAUGCAGAGAUUAGCAUGGCCACUGCCCAAGGAUAACAUGCAAAUUCGUGAAGUGUUCCAUAUCUUU